RNAcentral lists this ribosomal RNA (800 nucleotides) under Staphylococcus equorum. Its description in RNAcentral is "bacterial SSU rRNA". It matches the Rfam family "Bacterial small subunit ribosomal RNA", at positions 74 to 858 of the family's 1533-position model. The record is from RNAcentral. Lineage: Bacteria; Bacillati; Bacillota; Bacilli; Caryophanales; Staphylococcaceae.
AGGAGCUUGCUCCUUUGAAGUUAGCGGCGGACGGGUGAGUAACACGUGGGUAACCUACCUAUAAGACUGGAAUAACUUCGGGAAACCGGAGCUAAUGCCGGAUAACAUUUGGAACCGCAUGGUUCUAAAGUAAAAGAUGGUUUUGCUAUCACUUAUAGAUGGACCCGCGCCGUAUUAGCUAGUUGGUAAGGUAACGGCUUACCAAGGCAACGAUACGUAGCCGACCUGAGAGGGUGAUCGGCCACACUGGAACUGAGACACGGUCCAGACUCCUACGGGAGGCAGCAGUAGGGAAUCUUCCGCAAUGGACGAAAGUCUGACGGAGCAACGCCGCGUGAGUGAUGAAGGUUUUCGGAUCGUAAAACUCUGUUAUUAGGGAAGAACAAAUGUGUAAGUAACUGUGCACAUCUUGACGGUACCUAAUCAGAAAGCCACGGCUAACUACGUGCCAGCAGCCGCGGUAAUACGUAGGUGGCAAGCGUUAUCCGGAAUUAUUGGGCGUAAAGCGCGCGUAGGCGGUUUCUUAAGUCUGAUGUGAAAGCCCACGGCUCAACCGUGGAGGGUCAUUGGAAACUGGGAAACUUGAGUACAGAAGAGGAAAGUGGAAUUCCAUGUGUAGCGGUGAAAUGCGCAGAGAUAUGGAGGAACACCAGUGGCGAAGGCGACUUUCUGGUCUGUAACUGACGCUGAUGUGCGAAAGCGUGGGGAUCAAACAGGAUUAGAUACCCUGGUAGUCCACGCCGUAAACGAUGAGUGCUAAGUGUUAGGGGGUUUCCGCCCCUUAGUGCUGCAGCUAACGC